GGCUUGGUGGCGGAUGGUCCGCGUCUGCACUAUAUGCUUCAGUGAGAAGAGCUUUGCAGCAGAAGUCGCUCGUUCGAUUCGGGUCUGAGCCA
Non-coding RNA from Mycena rosella, 92 nucleotides. NCBI's taxonomy places the organism in Eukaryota, Fungi, Basidiomycota, Agaricomycetes, Agaricales, Mycenaceae. The record is from the annotation of a GenBank genome assembly.